Oreochromis niloticus (Nile tilapia) is the source of this 2329-nucleotide long non-coding RNA. The record is from Ensembl. NCBI's taxonomy places the organism in Eukaryota, Metazoa, Chordata, Actinopteri, Cichliformes, Cichlidae.
UUACUUUGUGAUAUAUUAUAUUAUUUAGUUUAGUCAGUUAUUGUUCUUACUGUCUUUGAGCCACUGUGACCACUUAGUUUCCUCUGAGAUUAGUAAAAUAUUCUUAUCUUAUCUUACAGAUUCAUGCUUCACCAGGUUGGUAAAACAAUUUUAAUUAUUAUUUUAAACAAACAUCAGUUGCUUUUGAAUUAAUUGUUGUCACGUCUGCCGUGGCAGAUGAGUGGAGGUUGAGAAUUAAGAUGCAGGCAGCUGAGAUGCAAGUCAGAUUUAUUCAUAAAGUGGUGAAACAAACAGAAAUAGUGAAGGCAUGAAUGGAAACUAAGCAAACCUAAACUGGAAGAAACGAACAAAACCAAACCUGAACCCUUAAAUGGCGAUGCAGGGAGACACGCUGAUGACACAGAAUGAUGCAGAGAAAGAACACAGACGAACCAGCAACAAGCACACGAGGACACACACUAUAAACACACACAGAGGGAAACGUGGAAUGCAAGAAAGGAAGACACAGCUGAACCAAAUUGACCUGACGAGACGGGGAAACAUAAACUGAACACACUAACAGAAGACACGGACCUUCACAAUAAAACAGGAAAUAAACAGAGACACGGUACAGACACUAAACAGAGGGAACACAGAAACCAAACUCUAGGAACUAAAAAGUCUAAACCCCAGUACACAAUCAGAACAAACACAAGAUCAUAAUAAUGAAAAACACAAACUGCUGCGUCAAAAGACCGAGGACCAUGACAAUUGUGUUUAUUUCCUGUUUUAGGUCGAUCCAGUCUGAGAGUCACAGUCCGGGCUCCUCCACAAAUCAUGGAGUCAACCAGAAUGAAACUCAUGUGUACGGCUCUCUUCAACAUGGUACUGCUGACGUCUAUGAAUCAGUCACACAAGUGACAAACAGAAAUGGUACAGUAUAUGUGCUGGAAAGCACAGAGCAGUUAGAGAUGAAACUUGUUUUUGAUUUAAUGAAUCUAAUUUCAUGUGAAAUGUUUUUACAAUCCUGUAACUAAAAAUCUGAACAUUUCAGGUUCAGAUGAAUACGAUGAUGUCACCUCCUCUCUUAUUGAGUUUCAAGAUCUUCGAACUAAGAGUGAGUACACCAAAGUUCAUUUUAUAAAAAGAAAACCUGGUUUGGAAAGUUUUUUAAUUAGUAUGAUUUUUCUUUUGGGAGUGUGUGUGUGUGUGUGUGUGUGUGUGUGUGUGUGGGGGGGGGGGGGGGUAUUAUUAAUGUAAGUUAGGUCUGGCAGCACUUUUCUCAUGUUAGGAAACACAGACAUUUACUCAAAUUUAUUAUUUUAUUCUUUUCAUAUUGUUUAAAUCUGUGUAUUUAGUGAGAUGGCAAAACAGUUAAACACCAAACAAAUGAAGAAUAAAAACAUAUAUUCAUCGUUCUUUGCAAGCUACACAUUAACUGUGCAAGCCAAAGUAAUCUAUUACAGGCACUAUUAGCAUAACACACAUUUCAAUGAUAUCAAAGUGCACUAAGAACCAGCCUGGACCAAAGCCAAGUGGAUAAUGAAGCUGUAUGGUAAAUGGUAAAUGGCCUGUAUUCGUAUAGCGCUUUAUUCAGUCCCUAAGGACCCCAAAGCGCUUUACACUACAUUCAAUCAUUGACCCAUUCACACACACAUUCACACACUGGUGAUGGCAAGCUACAUUGUAGCCACAGCUGUCCUGGGGCGCACUGACAGAGGCGAGGCUGCCGGACACUGGCGCCACCGGGCCCUCUGACCACCAUCAGUAGGCAACGGGUGAAGUGUCUUGCCCAAGGACACAACGACCGAGACUCUGUGAUAGACCAAUACAACGAAGCACAUAAUUGUGAACUGGUAUGAAAAUGACACAUGGUUUAAGCAAGUAAAAAUCUGCAUUUGUUUUCAGACAUCUGUACUCUGACACCACAAACUAAAAUCCAGUGCAUUCAAUUACCUUCAGAAAUCACCUAAUUAGAUAAUAGAGUUCACCUGUGUGUCAUUAUAAACAUCUGCUCUUUAGAGAUCUCAGUGGAUGUGAAGAGGUGGUUUGUUGGUUAAAAAUCCAUCAAUUGGGUAUUAGGGGCAGAGGUAUGGGUGGAUUUUGGAUUUUUUAAAGGGUAGGCAAAUACAAGUGAGAAUUGGAAAGAAUUACUCGGAGAAGUUUUCUGUAGAGAAAAGGACUCCCCAGGGGAGCAUAAUGAGUCCUUUAAUAUUUUCUCUAAUGAUAAGUGGGGAUUCAAAUUUUCAGUUGAUAAGACUAAGACAAUGUUGUUGGGUUUUUUUUUUUUUGUUGUUUUUUUUUUUUUUACAAAGAAAAGCGUGAGUGAGCUUUGGUCAGGCAGAAGUUA